This 1455-nucleotide ribosomal RNA is filed under the name uncultured Bordetella sp. RNAcentral's name for it is "partial 16S-23S ribosomal RNA intergenic spacer". It matches the Rfam family "Bacterial small subunit ribosomal RNA". The record is from RNAcentral. Lineage: Bacteria; Pseudomonadati; Pseudomonadota; Betaproteobacteria; Burkholderiales; Alcaligenaceae.
GGAAUGCGCUGGCGGGAUGUUUACACAUGCAAGUCGAACGGCAGCACGGACUGGCCUCGGUGGCGAGUGGCGAACGGGUGAGUAAUGUAUCGGAACGUGCCUAGUAUGGAUAACUACGCGAAAAGCGUAGCUAAUACCGCAUACGCUCCUUCGGGGAAAGCGGGGACCUCGCCUCGCACUAUUAGAGCGCCGAUAUCGGAUUAGCUAGUUGGUGGGGUACCGUCACUCAAGGCGACGAUCUGUAGCUGGUUUGAGAGACGACCAGCCACACUGGGACUGAGACACGGCCCAGAUCCCUACGGAGGCAGCAGUGGGGAAUUUUGGACAAUGGGGGAAACCCUGAUCCAGCCAUCCUUAUGUGUGGCGAUGGGGUUGCCUUCGCUGUAAAGCACUUUUGCAGGAGAAACGGCACGGGAUAAUACCCUGUGUACAACUGACGGUACCUGCAGAAUAAGCACCGGCUAACUACGUGCCAGCAGCCGCGUAAUACGUAGGGUGCAAGCGUUAAUCGGAAUUAUCAUGUACGCGCAGGCGGUUCGGAAAGAAAGAUGAAACUCAGAGCUUAACUCUUGGAACUGCAUUUUUAACUACCGAGCUAGAGUGUGUCAGAGGGAGGUGGAAUUCGCGUGUAGCAGGAAAUGCGUAGAUAUGCGAGUGGUACCACCGAUGGCGAAGGCAGCCUCCUGGGGAUAACACUGACGCUCAUGCACGAAAGCGGGGAGCAAACAGGAUUAGAUAAUUCCAGUAGUCCACGCCCUAAACGAUGUCAACUAGCUGUUGGGGCCUUCGGGCCUUGGUAGCGCAGCUAACGCGUGAAGUUGACCGCCUGGGGAGUACGGUCGCAAGAUUAAAACUCAAAGGAAUUGACGCGGGGACCCGCACAGCGGUGUGGAUGAUGUGGAUUAAUUGAUGCAACGCGAAACCUUAAUGUACUCCUUGACAUGUCUGGAAUCCCGAAGAGAUUUGGGAGUGCUCGCAAGAGAACUGGAACACAGGUGCUGCAUGGCUGUCGUCAGCUCGUGUCGUGAGAUGUUGAAGUUAAGUCCCGCAACGAUGGCAACCUCCUAUUAAGAAGGCUACGAAAGGGCACUCUAAUGAGACUGCCGGUGACAAACCGGAAGGAAGGUGGGGAUGACGUCAAGUCCUCAUGGCCCUUAUGGGUAGGGCUUCUCAAGGAUGUCAGUGCAAAUGGUCGGGACAGAGGGUCGCCAACCGGCGAGGGGAGCCAAUCCCAGAAACCCGAUCGUAGUCCGGACGCAGUUCGCACCUGAUCAGUGAAGUCGGAAUCAAGUAGGUAAUCGCGGAUCAGCAUGUCGCGGUGAAUACGUUCCCGGCUCCACACACCGCCCGUCAGCACCAUGGGAGUGGUUUUACCAGAAGAAGUUAGCCUAACCGUAAGGAGUGAAGAUCACUACGGUGUAGGAUUCAUGACUGGGUGAAGUCGUAACAAGGCAG